AACGAACGCUGGCGGCAUGCCUAACACAUGCAAGUCGAACGAGACCUUCGGGUCUAGUGGCGCACGGGUGCGUAACGCGUGGGAACCUGCCUUUAGGUUCGGAAUAACUCAGAGAAAUUUGAGCUAAUACCGGAUGAUGUCUUCGGACCAAAGAUUUAUCGCCUUUAGAUGGGCCCGCGUUGGAUUAGCUAGUUGGUGGGGUAAAGGCCUACCAAGGCGACGAUCCAUAGCUGGUCUGAGAGGAUGAUCAGCCACACUGGGACUGAGACACGGCCCAGACUCCUACGGGAGGCAGCAGUGGGGAAUAUUGGACAAUGGGCGAAAGCCUGAUCCAGCAAUGCCGCGUGAGCGAUGAAGGCCUUAGGGUUGUAAAGCUCUUUUACCCGAGAUGAUAAUGACAGUAUCGGGAGAAUAAGCUCCGGCUAACUCCGUG
This 433-nucleotide ribosomal RNA is filed under the name uncultured bacterium. RNAcentral's name for it is "partial 16S ribosomal RNA". It matches the Rfam family "Bacterial small subunit ribosomal RNA", at positions 29 to 507 of the family's 1533-position model. The record is from RNAcentral.